RNAcentral lists this ribosomal RNA (675 nucleotides) under uncultured Curvibacter sp. RNAcentral's name for it is "bacterial SSU rRNA". It matches the Rfam family "Bacterial small subunit ribosomal RNA", at positions 94 to 765 of the family's 1533-position model. Lineage: Bacteria; Pseudomonadati; Pseudomonadota; Betaproteobacteria; Burkholderiales; Comamonadaceae. The record is from RNAcentral.
AGUGGCGAACGGGUGAGUAAAGUAUCGGAACGUGCCCAGUCGUGGGGGAUAACGUAGCGAAAGUUACGCUAAUACCGCAUACGAUCUAUGGAUGAAAGCGGGGGAUCGCAAGACCUCGCGCGAUUGGAGCGGCCGAUAUCAAAUUAGGUAGUUGGUGGGGUAAAGGCUCACCAAGCCGACGAUCUGUAGCUGGUCUGAGAGGACGACCACCCACACUGGGACUGAGACACGGCCCACACUCCUACGGGAGGCAGCAGUGGGGAAUUUUGGACAAUGGGCGCAAGCCUGAUCCAGCCAUGCCGCGUGCAGGAUGAAGGCCUUCGGGUUGUAAACUGCUUUUGUACGGAACGAAAAGGUUUGGCCUAAUAAGCUGAGCUCAUGACGGUACCGUAAGAAUAAGCACCGGCUAACUACGUGCCAGCAGCCGCGGUAAUACGUAGGGUGCGAGCGUUAAUCGGAAUUACUGGGCGUAAAGCGUGCGCAGGCGGUUAUGUAAGACAGAUGUGAAAUCCCCGGGCUCAACCUGGGAACUGCAUUAGUGACUGCAUAGCUGGAGUACGGCAGAAGGGGGGAUGGAAUUCCGCGGUGUAGCAGUGAAUGCGUAGAUAUGCGGAGGACACCGAAUGGCGAGGCCAUCCCCUGGGUCUGUACUGACGCUCAUGCACGAAGCGUGGA